GAGGGUAUAACUCAGUGGCAGGGAGUGUGCCUAGCAUGCACGAGGUCCUGGGUUCAGUCCCCAGUACCUCUA
Camelus ferus (Wild Bactrian camel) is the source of this 72-nucleotide transfer RNA. It matches the Rfam family "tRNA". Rfam says of the family: Transfer RNA (tRNA) molecules are approximately 80 nucleotides in length. Their secondary structure includes four short double-helical elements and three loops (D, anti-codon, and T loops). Further hydrogen bonds mediate the characteristic L-shaped molecular structure. tRNAs have two regions of fundamental functional importance: the anti-codon, which is responsible for specific mRNA codon recognition, and the 3' end, to which the tRNAs corresponding amino acid is attached (by aminoacyl-tRNA synthetases). tRNAs cope with the degeneracy of the genetic code in two manners: having more than one tRNA (with a specific anti-codon) for a particular amino acid; and 'wobble' base-pairing, i.e. permitting non-standard base-pairing at the 3rd anti-codon position. The record is from Rfam. Lineage: Eukaryota; Metazoa; Chordata; Mammalia; Artiodactyla; Camelidae.